RNAcentral lists this transfer RNA (74 nucleotides) under Microbacteriaceae bacterium. RNAcentral's name for it is "tRNA-Glu". It matches the Rfam family "tRNA". Rfam says of the family: Transfer RNA (tRNA) molecules are approximately 80 nucleotides in length. Their secondary structure includes four short double-helical elements and three loops (D, anti-codon, and T loops). The record is from RNAcentral. RNAcentral also lists the same sequence under 2 other names. Lineage: Bacteria; Bacillati; Actinomycetota; Actinomycetes; Micrococcales; Microbacteriaceae.
GGCCCCAUCGUUUAGCGGCCUAGGACACUGCCCUCUCACGGCAGCGGCGCGGGUUCGAAUCCCGCUGGGGUCAC